GACAAUUCCUAUUUGUUUCAUUUUUAUCGGAUAUACUAGGGUAUGUUGUAUAAACUAAACUUCUUUCUUAAAAAAUAAUGUGAGGUUAAGUUGAAUUUUCAAUUCAUUCAUAAUUUACUUGAAAAGUGUGAUAAAUUAAAAGAAGUUUUAGUACGUAUUUAAAGUGAAAUAACUAAAUAAUUUUUAAAAUGAGUUGGAAAAUGUCAGAACCUUUUACAAGAAAUGGUGUGAUAAACAAUUUUCAGCAUAACAGUAAUGUAAGUGAGAUAAGCGGCUUUAUUGACUCUAUCGAGGGAACCAAGUAUGUUAAAGGGAAAAUCAAUGGAGCAUAAUUAUUAAUAAUGAUCAAGGACGUCGUAUUAGGGUUGUUUUCUAGUCAGAUCUGGCGGUCAAAUAUCUCCAGAAAACAAAAUUUCAUUCGAUUAUGUUAUUUGAAGAUAUUUACUGUCAAAGAAGACCCCUUAAUCGGAGAAUAAAUCAGGAAAAUUUAUAUCAUUUACAAUUGUUUGUCAAGUUCUACACAACAGUAAAUAUUUUUUUCGAGAUGUUCAAGCCAGAUUUGAUUUCACAACAAGCAACCUUAAAGGAUGUUUUUCUCAGGCAACAUCAAAUACAACGUAAGUUGUUUGUUUUCGAGUAUUUGUUGUCAUAACAUCUUUCAAUAUGAUGAUAAUUAGGCUUCAAAUCCAUUUUCGAUGUCCAGGGUUGUCUGCAAAACCCUUUACAUUAAGUAACAGUCCUCGUUACAGUUAUUGGUCAGGUAUUGUAAAUGAUCGUUACUCAUCAGUACGAGUACAUAUUUUGAAUCACAUGUUUGAUCUGGAUUUAAAAAUUGGCCAACUGAUUAGUUUUUUAGCUGAAUCGCAAUGUGAUCGUAUGUGAAUACAUGUAUUAAUAUAUCUUGAAUACACUAGAAUAAUUUACAGCAGAUUAUAUAAAUGAUUUAAUUAUUGUUCAGGAGAUGGUAAUUUUUUUUUAGCAGUAGUCGACACAAGAGACAUUCAAGUUUUUGAUGACAUAAUUACUGAAGAGAAGAUGCGAACAGAGGGUGGUUUGCUUCUGCCUGGUCAAUAAAGUGUAUAUCAAAUGCUGUACAUACAAAAAAUAAUGUUGUAUGCGUUAAUAUGCAUAUUUUUUUUCUUAUUAAAUGUCAAAAUUCCUUUUUUUUGAAUCAUUAAAAAUAAUUUAAAUCACAUCUAUUAAUCUACUGUACAUUCAUACGGUACCAAAAUAAAUUUUAUUACUAAUUGUAUCAUUAUUGUAACAUCGAAUUCGAUUUUUUCAUAUAGUAAUAUUUACCUAAAAACAUUUAAAUUAAUUUAUCAUUUGUA
This is a long non-coding RNA of Chelonus insularis, 1331 nucleotides long. RefSeq lists it as uncharacterized. NCBI's taxonomy places the organism in Eukaryota, Metazoa, Arthropoda, Insecta, Hymenoptera, Braconidae. The record is from RefSeq and is a predicted model, not a curated record. The transcript has 3 exons.